This 243-nucleotide ribosomal RNA is filed under the name uncultured Blastocystis sp. Its description in RNAcentral is "partial small subunit ribosomal RNA". It matches the Rfam family "Eukaryotic small subunit ribosomal RNA", at positions 69 to 327 of the family's 1831-position model. Lineage: Eukaryota; Bigyra; Opalinata; Blastocystidae. The record is from RNAcentral.
AACUAAUUGACUUUGAAACUGCGAAUGGCUCAUUAUAUCAGUUAUAGUUUAUUUGGUGAAGGAUACUAAUUGGAUAACCGUAGUAAUUCUAGGGCUAAUACAUGAGUAAAGUCCCAUUGGGAUGUGUUUAUUAGAAUGAAAACCAUAUGCUUCGGCAUGAUAGUGAGUAAUAGUAACCUAUCGUAUCGCAUGCUUACAAGUAGCGAUGAGUCUUUCAAGUUUCUGCCCUAUCAGCUUUCGAUG